GGAUCAGACUUUGAUUAUGGCUCAGGAUGAACGCUAGCUACAGGCUUAACACAUGCAAGUCGAGGGGAAACGACAUCGAAAGCUUGCUUUUGAUGGGCGUCGACCGGCGCACGGGUGAGUAACGCGUAUCCAACCUGCCCACCACUUGGGGAUAACCUUGCGAAAGUAAGACUAAUACCCAAUGAUAUCUCUAGAAGACAUCUGAAAGAGAUUAAAGAUUUAUCGGCGAUGGAUGGGGAUGCGUCUGAUUAGCUUGUUGGCGGGGUAACGGCCCACCAAGGCAACGAUCAGUAGGGGUUCUGAGAGGAAGGUCCCCCACAUUGGAACUGAGACACGGUCCAAACUCCUACGGGAGGCAGCAGUGAGGAAUAUUGGUCAAUGGACGAGAGUCUGAACCAGCCAAGUAGCGUGCAGGAUGACGGCCCUAUGGGUUGUAAACUGCUUUUAUAAGGGAAUAAAGUGAGUCUCGUGAGACUUUUUGCAUGUACCUUAUGAAUAAGGACCGGCUAAUUCCGUGCCAGCAGCCGCGGUAAUACGGAAGGUCCGGGCGUUAUCCGGAUUUAUUGGGUUUAAAGGGAGCGUAGGCCGGAGAUUAAGCGUGUUGUGAAAUGUAGACGCUCAACGUCUGCACUGCAGCGCGAACUGGUUUCCUUGAGUACGCACAAAGUGGGCGGAAUUCGUGGUGUAGCGGUGAAAUGCUUAGAUAUCACGAAGAACUCCGAUUGCGAAGGCAGCUCACUGGAGCGCAACUGACGCUGAAGCUCGAAAGUGCGGGUAUCGAACAGGAUUAGAUACCCUGGUAGUCCGCACGGUAAACGAUGGAUGCCCGCUGUUGGUCUGAAUAGGUCAGCGGCCAAGCGAAAGCAUUAAGCAUCCCACCUGGGGAGUACGCCGGCAACGGUGCAACUCAAAGGAAU
RNAcentral lists this ribosomal RNA (917 nucleotides) under uncultured Bacteroidota bacterium. RNAcentral's name for it is "bacterial SSU rRNA". It matches the Rfam family "Bacterial small subunit ribosomal RNA", at positions 1 to 910 of the family's 1533-position model. Lineage: Bacteria; Pseudomonadati; Bacteroidota. The record is from RNAcentral.